ACGCUCGCUUAGGCAGCACGUAUGCUAAAAAUUGGAAUAACACAGAGAAGAUUAGCAUGGCCUCUGUGCAAGGAUGAUACGCAAAUGCAUGAAGCCUUCCAUGUUAAU
Small nuclear RNA from Cercocebus atys (sooty mangabey), 108 nucleotides. Lineage: Eukaryota; Metazoa; Chordata; Mammalia; Primates; Cercopithecidae. The record is from Ensembl.